This 413-nucleotide ribosomal RNA is filed under the name uncultured Gemmata sp. RNAcentral's name for it is "bacterial SSU rRNA". It matches the Rfam family "Bacterial small subunit ribosomal RNA", at positions 355 to 774 of the family's 1533-position model. The record is from RNAcentral. Lineage: Bacteria; Pseudomonadati; Planctomycetota; Planctomycetia; Gemmatales; Gemmataceae.
UCGAGGAUCUUCGGCAAUGGGCGCAAGCCUGACCGAGCGACGCCGCGUGUGCGACGAAGGCCUUCGGGUUGUAAAGCACUGUCGAGGGGGAGAAAAGCCCGAAAGGGCCUGAUCUAUCCCUGGAGGAAGCACGGGCUAAGUUCGUGCCAGCAGCCGCGGUAAGACGAACCGUGCGAACGUUGUUCGGAAUCACUGGGCUUAAAGGGCGCGUAGGCGGGCUGCCGCGUCCGUGGUGAAAUCCUCCGGCUUAACCGGAGUAGUGCCGCGGGUACGGGCGGUCUCGAGGCGGGUAGGGGCGUGCGGAACACUGGGUGGAGCGGUGAAAUGCGUUGAUAUCCAGUGGAACUCCGGUGGCGAAGGCGGCACGCUGGACCCGAUCUGACGCUGAGGCGCGAAAGCCAGGGGAGCGAACG